UUUGAUGUUAGAAAAGCAAGUCUCCAGUGAAACUCUGGUCCUAUCAUACUCAGUGGAACCAACACUGAAGAUCUCAGUUUGAAGCACUGGAGCAGGUUGUUCUGAAAGGUCACCAGGAAGCUGAAGAAAUUCUCAGUUAUAGUAAAUGCCUUGAGUAGACAAAUGUAUGCAUACUUUAUUUGUCCACCAAAUUUUGUGAAAACAAUUAUGUAACCUAUGAAAGACAGAGAAAGGUAUAUACUAU
This 244-nucleotide long non-coding RNA is filed under the name Homo sapiens (human). RNAcentral's name for it is "HSALNT0070787". Lineage: Eukaryota; Metazoa; Chordata; Mammalia; Primates; Hominidae. The record is from RNAcentral.